AACGCGAAGAACCUUACCAAGGCUUGACAUAUGCCGGAAACACCUGGAGACAGGUGCCCCCUUGUGGUCGGUAUACAGGUGGUGCAUGGUUGUCGUCAGCUCGUGUCGUGAGAUGUUGGGUUAAGUCCCGCAACGAGCGCAACCCUUGUUCUGUGUUGCCAGCAUGCCUUUCGGGGUGAUGGGGACUCACAGGAGACUGCCGGGGUCAACUCGGAGGAAGGUGGGGACGACGUCAAAUCAUCAUGCCCCUUAUGUCUUGGGCUGCACACGUGCUACAAUGGUCGGUACAAAGGGCUGCGAUGCCGCGAGGCGGAGCGAAAGCCCAAAAAGCCGGCCGUCAGUGCGGAUUGGGGGGAUUGCCACGAGACCUCCAUG
Molecule: ribosomal RNA, 375 nt
Filed under: uncultured bacterium
Lineage: Bacteria
Description: bacterial SSU rRNA
Rfam family: Bacterial small subunit ribosomal RNA
Source: RNAcentral